GCCCUAGUAACGGCGAGUGAAGCGGCAACAGCUCAAAUUUGAAAUCUGGCCCUCGGGUCCGAGUUGUAAUUUGUAGAGGAUGCUUUUGGCGCGGUGCCUUCCGAGUUCCCUGGAACGGGACGCCUUAGAGGGUGAGAGCCCCGUACGGUUGGACACCAAGCCUCUGUAAAGCUCCUUCGACGAGUCGAGUAGUUUGGGAAUGCUGCUCUAAAUGGGAGGUAAAUUUCUUCUAAAGCUAAAUAUUGGCCAGAGACCGAUAGCGCACAAGUAGAGUGAUCGAAAGAUGAAAAGCACUUUGAAAAGAGGGUUAAAUAGCACGUGAAAUUGUUGAAAGGGAAGCGUUUGCGACCAGACCUUUUCCCAGCGGAUCAUCCGGUGUUCUCACCGGUGCACUUCGCUGGGUUUAGGCCAGCAUCGGUUUCCGUAGGGGGAUAAAAGCCCUGGGAACGUAGCUCCCUCGGGAGUGUUAUAGCCCUCUGCAUAAUAUCCUUACGGGGACCGAGGACCGCGCUUCGGCAAGGAUGCUGGCGUAAUGGUCGUCAACGAC
This 547-nucleotide ribosomal RNA is filed under the name Xylaria subtropicalis. Its description in RNAcentral is "eukaryotic LSU rRNA". It matches the Rfam family "Eukaryotic large subunit ribosomal RNA", at positions 77 to 648 of the family's 3401-position model. The record is from RNAcentral. Lineage: Eukaryota; Fungi; Ascomycota; Sordariomycetes; Xylariales; Xylariaceae.